GGAGCUCCUGCAGGGGCGAGCUGGGAACACAUGCGAUGCGAUUACCGGCGGUCGCCGGUCGGCAGGCAUGUGUUCUCAGGUCGCCCCCGCCGGGCCCUC
RNAcentral lists this microRNA precursor (99 nucleotides) under Dichanthelium oligosanthes. RNAcentral's name for it is "MIR398 microRNA precursor family". It matches the Rfam family "MIR398 microRNA precursor family". Lineage: Eukaryota; Viridiplantae; Streptophyta; Magnoliopsida; Poales; Poaceae. The record is from Rfam by way of RNAcentral.